RNAcentral lists this ribosomal RNA (396 nucleotides) under Triticum aestivum (bread wheat). RNAcentral describes it as "partial small subunit ribosomal RNA". Lineage: Eukaryota; Viridiplantae; Streptophyta; Magnoliopsida; Poales; Poaceae. The record is from RNAcentral.
AUGCCGGCUGGCGUCAAGUUCGAUCCUAUGGAUCAGGAGCUGAUCGAGCACCUCGAGGCCAAAAGUGGCCUAAGGAAGCAUAUCUUCCAGCGUAAUUCCAGAGCAUUCAAAAGGGGCACGUGGACGCGUCGCAAGAUACAGUCGGAGUGCGGCAUGCACGCGAUGUGGCACAAGACCGGCAAUCCCUUGCCGGUGAUGGUCAACGGCCGACAGACGGGCAUCACAAAGGUUCUGGUGCUGCACACCAACAAGAACUUCGACCAGCAGAGGACCAACUGGGUGAUGCACCAGUACCACCUCGGGGACCUGGAGCAAGAGAAGGAGCGAGAGCUCGUCCUCUGCAAGAUUUUGUACCAGACGAACACUAGGGCCAUGAGUAAAAAGAUUAUAAGUUAG